CAGCUGCAGAAUGGGCAGACCUUGGUGGUAACUAAAAUGGAGUCAUAGUAGAAGGAAGUCUUGGGUCAUCAAUCUCUGACAAGAACCUUUCAGAGUGCUUGAUGAUAUUGCAAGUAUCAAGCUGUGCUGCAUUAAAAAAUGAUGAAUCUCUGUUCAGGAUGGAACGGAGUGUUUGGCAUCUCUACUUCAUCAUUCGUAAAGGCUGAAUGAACUCUUUGCUCCCACUUAUUGAAGAUAAAAGGAGGCAGAAUUACCCUUAAGUAAAUACUUUGGCCUCAGCCUUUCCUCCACUUUGUGCAUUAAUAAAAAUCCCUUUCUCUCA
RNAcentral lists this long non-coding RNA (322 nucleotides) under Pongo abelii (Sumatran orangutan). RNAcentral's name for it is "lincRNA". Lineage: Eukaryota; Metazoa; Chordata; Mammalia; Primates; Hominidae. The record is from RNAcentral.